GAACUGAAAUCAAGAGUUGGCCAUUAAUUGACUAAGCCACCCAGGUGCCUCUGGCCAUUAUUUCUUUGAGUACUUUUCAGCCCCAUCUUCUUUCUCCUCUCCUCCAGGAAGCCUGAUGACAUAUGUCCUUGAAGAUCUGUUGUCCUUAUUCUUUGAAAAUCUUAUUUUCUCUUUUGUUCAGGUUAGGUAAUUUCUAUUUUUUAAUUUUUCUGUCUUACCCAUUCUUUCCUUAACAGUUGAACUCAUCCACAUUUUUUUUUUUUAAUUUUGCUUGUUUUACUUUCAGUCCUAAAAUUUCCACUUGGUUCUUCCUUAUAUCUUCUAUCACUUUGCUGAGACUUUCUCGUCUGGAAGUGGUAGAAGUGUCUCUUUAAUUCUCCACCAACACCACCAUGUGGGGGUGGGGUAGGGAGGUGGCGUCACUACCACUAGGUAUUGGUAAAAGUCUUGACUGUUUACUAAUACCACUUCAGUGGACAGGGGUAGGGCAUCUCCCCACGGCUGUCCUAGCCCACUACUUGGCUUCUUCUGAUGCCAUUUGGAUGAUUGUGUGAUGGGUGCUGGAGCCCUCAACGCAGCCUGGUGAGAGGAGGAAGCUCUGGACUUCCCAUUCAGCUUUUGCCGCCAUGGGUCCGGACACAGAGAGAAGAGAGGCAGAGACACAGACAGAGGGAGAAGCAGGCUCCCUGCAGGGAGCCCCCUGCAGAAUUCAAUCCUAGGACUCCGAGAUCACGCCCUGAGCCGAAGACAGACACUCAACCGCUGAGGCACCCAGGCGUCCCCCACUGGCAUUUUUGAGUUGCUGGUUUCUCUAAGCACUCAAUCUGGGAUAUAUAUGAGGCAGAAUAAAAACCCUAGAAUUCACUACCAAUGUCAUUCCUUAGGUCUGAAAGUCCCCAGCCAGUCUGCCCUUUUCUCUCUACCUUUCAGAUUCUGCUUAUAUUUGUUUUCUAUAUAAUACCCAGGAAUUGUAGCUGUACAUAGAAGGAGGAAUAAAAAAAGUAUGUCUA
Canis lupus familiaris (dog) is the source of this 1010-nucleotide long non-coding RNA. RefSeq lists it as uncharacterized. NCBI's taxonomy places the organism in Eukaryota, Metazoa, Chordata, Mammalia, Carnivora, Canidae. The transcript has 2 exons. The record is from RefSeq and is a predicted model, not a curated record.